Xyrauchen texanus (razorback sucker) is the source of this 128-nucleotide small nucleolar RNA. RefSeq annotates it as small nucleolar RNA SNORA77. The record is from RefSeq and is a predicted model, not a curated record. Lineage: Eukaryota; Metazoa; Chordata; Actinopteri; Cypriniformes; Catostomidae. The transcript has a single exon.
GCAGACUCACUCUGUUUAAGACUGAAACAUCCAGUCUUAAACUUUCUUCGUCUGCAACAGUCACAUGCAGAAUGUACAAAUUGCCUUACCAUUACAUUGAAGGUGACAGUACUUUCUGAUACAUUCAG